This 71-nucleotide transfer RNA is filed under the name Pseudocheilinus hexataenia (sixline wrasse). RNAcentral describes it as "tRNA-Ser". It matches the Rfam family "tRNA". Rfam says of the family: Transfer RNA (tRNA) molecules are approximately 80 nucleotides in length. Their secondary structure includes four short double-helical elements and three loops (D, anti-codon, and T loops). Further hydrogen bonds mediate the characteristic L-shaped molecular structure. tRNAs have two regions of fundamental functional importance: the anti-codon, which is responsible for specific mRNA codon recognition, and the 3' end, to which the tRNAs corresponding amino acid is attached (by aminoacyl-tRNA synthetases). tRNAs cope with the degeneracy of the genetic code in two manners: having more than one tRNA (with a specific anti-codon) for a particular amino acid; and 'wobble' base-pairing, i.e. permitting non-standard base-pairing at the 3rd anti-codon position. Lineage: Eukaryota; Metazoa; Chordata; Actinopteri; Labriformes; Labridae. The record is from RNAcentral.
AAGAAGGUGGCAGAACGGUAAUGCGGUUGGCUUGAAACCAGCCUACGGGGGUUCGACUCCUCCCUUUCUCG